This 404-nucleotide unclassified non-coding RNA is filed under the name soil metagenome. RNAcentral describes it as "partial contains 5.8S ribosomal RNA, internal transcribed spacer 2, and large subunit ribosomal RNA". The stretch from base 1 to 121 matches the Rfam family "5.8S ribosomal RNA", at positions 35 to 154 of the family's 154-position model. The record is from RNAcentral.
GAUGAAGAACGCAGCGAAAUGCGAUAAGUAAUGUGAAUUGCAGAAUUCAGUGAAUCAUCGAAUCUUUGAACGCACCUUGCGCCCUUUAGCUAUUCCGAAGGGCAUGCCUGUUUGAGUAUCAUGAACACCCCAACUCUCAUGGUUUGCCAUGAUGAGCUUGGACUUUGGGGGUCUUGCCGGCCUAUGGGUCGGCUCCUCUCAAAUUAAUCAGCUUGCCAGUGUUUGGUGGCAUCACAGGUGUGAUAACUAUCUACGCUUGUGGUUUUCCAUCAGGUAACCUUCAGUGAUGGAGGUUCGCUGGGGCUCAUAAAUGUCUCUCCUCAGUGAGGACAGCUUUUUUGAACGUUUGAUCUCAAAUCAGGUAGGACUACCCGCUGAACUUAAGCAUAUCAAUAAGCGGAGGA